GGAAUCUUGCACAAUGGGCGAAAGCCUGAUGCAGCAACGCCGCGUGCGGGAAGAAGGCCCUAGGGUUGUAAACCGCUUUCAGCAGGGAAGAAAAUGACGGUACCUGCAGAAGAAGGUGCGGCCAACUACGUGCCAGCAGCCGCGGUGACACGUAGGCACCAAGCGUUAUCCGGAUUUAUUGGGCGUAAAGGGCUCGUAGGCGGUUCGGUAAGUCGGGUGUGAAAACUCGAGGCUCAACCUCGAGAGGCCACCCGAUACUGCUGUGACUCGAGUGCGGUAGGGGAGCGGGGAAUUCCUGGUGUAGCGGUGAAAUGCGCAGAUAUCAGGAGGAACACCAGUGGCGAAGGCGCCGCUCUGGGCCGUAACUGACGCUGAGGAGCGAAAGCAUGGGUAGCAAA
Molecule: ribosomal RNA, 398 nt
Filed under: uncultured bacterium
Lineage: Bacteria
Description: bacterial SSU rRNA
Rfam family: Bacterial small subunit ribosomal RNA
Source: RNAcentral